Molecule: long non-coding RNA, 95 nt
Organism: Melitaea cinxia (Glanville fritillary)
Lineage: Eukaryota; Metazoa; Arthropoda; Insecta; Lepidoptera; Nymphalidae
Exons: 2
Source: RefSeq, a predicted model, not a curated record
AUCGUUCCAUAGCUUAAUUGGCUAAAGCACUGACACGGUAAGUCGAAGAUGCAGUUUCGAUCCCCGCUGGAACGGUCGAUUUUUGAUAUGAUAUU